Molecule: ribosomal RNA, 254 nt
Filed under: uncultured bacterium
Lineage: Bacteria
Description: partial 16S ribosomal RNA
Rfam family: Bacterial small subunit ribosomal RNA
Source: RNAcentral
CUUUCUUUGCUGGCGACCGGCGCACGGGUGAGUAACACGUAUCCAACCUGCCCUUUACUCGGGGAUAGCCUUUCGAAAGAAAGAUUAAUACCCGAUAGCAUAAUGAUUCCGCAUGGUUUCAUUAUUAAAGGAUUCCGGUAAAGGAUGGGGAUGCAUUCCAUUAGGUUGUUGGUGGGGUAACGGCCCACCAAGCCUUCGAUGGAUAGGGGUUCUGAGAGGAAGGUCCCCCACAUUGGAACUGAGACACGGUCCAA